RNAcentral lists this ribosomal RNA (490 nucleotides) under uncultured bacterium. RNAcentral describes it as "bacterial SSU rRNA". It matches the Rfam family "Bacterial small subunit ribosomal RNA", at positions 355 to 855 of the family's 1533-position model. The record is from RNAcentral.
UGGGGAAUCUUGGACAAUGGGGGCAACCCUGAUCCAGCCAUGCCGCGUGAGUGAUGAAGGCCUUAGGGUCGUAAAGCUCUUUCGCCUGUGAAGAUAAUGACGGUAGCAGGUAAAGAAACCCCGGCUAACUCCGUGCCAGCAGCCGCGGUAAUACGGAGGGGGUUAGCGUUGUUCGGAAUUACUGGGCGUAAAGCGCACGUAGGCGGACCAGAAAGUUGGGGGUGAAAUCCCGGGGGCUCAACCCCGGAACUGCCUCCAAAACUAUUGGUCUAGAGUUCGAGAGAGGUGAGUGGAAUUCCAAGUGUAGAGGUGAAAUUCGUAGAUAUUUGGAGGAACACCAGUGGCGAAGGCGGCUCACUGGCUCGAUACUGACGCUGAGGUGCGAAAAGUGUGGGGAGCAAAACAGGAUUAGAUACCCCUGGUAGUCCACACCGUAAAACGAUGGAAUGCCCAGUCGUCGGGGUAGCAUGCUAUUCGGUGACACACCUAA